UACGGGGGGGGCAAGCGUUGUUCGGAAUUACUGGGCGUAAAGGGCUCGUAGGCGGCCAACUAAGUCGGAUGUGAAAUCCCCAGGCUCAACCUGGGAACUGCAUCCGAUACUGGAUGGCUUGAAUUCGGGAGAGGGAUGCAGAAUUCCAGGUGUAGCGGUGAAAUGCGUAGAUAUGCGGAGGAACACCGAUGGCGAAGGCAAUCCCCUGGGCCUGCACUGACGCUCAUGCACGAAAGCGUGGGGAGCAAACAGG
RNAcentral lists this ribosomal RNA (253 nucleotides) under uncultured bacterium. RNAcentral's name for it is "partial 16S ribosomal RNA". It matches the Rfam family "Bacterial small subunit ribosomal RNA", at positions 524 to 776 of the family's 1533-position model. The record is from RNAcentral.